RNAcentral lists this long non-coding RNA (5938 nucleotides) under Homo sapiens (human). RNAcentral's name for it is "HSALNT0018040". The record is from RNAcentral. Lineage: Eukaryota; Metazoa; Chordata; Mammalia; Primates; Hominidae.
UCUCCUGCAAUUUGUCACUAGGCCUAGCAAUAAUUUGAAUACUUGUAGCAACAAUAAUAAUAGAUCAAAUGUAUUCUGCAUUUACAAUGUACUAGGUAGUACGUGAGGUGCUAUUAACCUCUCAUUUUCUCCUCAUAUCAACCCUACAAGGUUGUAGUAACAUUUUUCCCAUUUUAUAGUUAAGUAAACUAAGGUUCAGAGAAAACAAAGGUUUAGAGAAGUGAUGAAGUCAUAUAGCCAGUAUUGGAGGUUGGGUGAAGACUUAGAUAUUCUUAUUCCAGAGCCGACACUCAGAACUACAUUCCAUAUUGGAAUUUCUUCCAUAACAUUUUUAGAUAUUUUGGGUGAGGUAUGAAGGGUGAAGGUGAACAGUUAUUUAAUGAGAAGUAAAACUCUUUUCCUUGAUCAGUGAUCUGAGACACUACAACAGAGUUAAGUAAAUUGUGUAGGAAUCCAGAGAGUUAGUGGCCAAAUAAAAAGGCCAGACCCCAUAGUUUCUUCUUUUUUUUUUUUUUUGAGAUGGAGUCUCGCUCUGUCACCCAGGCUGGAGUGCAGUGGCGCGAUCUCGGCUCACUGCAAGCUCCACCUCCCAGGUUCACACCAUUCUCCUGCCUCAGCCUCCCGAGUAGCUGGGACUACAGGUGCCUGCCACCUGGCCCCGCUAAUUUUUUGUAUUUUUAGUAGAGAUGGGGUUUCACCGUGUUAGCCAGGAUGGUCUCAAUCUCCUGACCUCGUGAUCCGCCCGCCUCAGCCUCCCAAAGUGCUGGGAUUACAGGCGUGAGCCACCGCACCCGGCCUUUUUAUAGCAUAUAGAUGUUUUACUCUUUUCCACCAAUAAAUAAUAUUUAUAGUCUGAUUGUUUUUCAAAAGAAUCUCUUAACAAAAGGAUUUCACUGAACAUUAGUCAAUGCUGGGCACAUAGUAAGUGCUUAAUAUUUGUUAAAUGAGCAAAAUUUUUCCAUAUCUGAACAGGGUAUUUGACAUGGUUAUUUGCUCCUAUGAACAUUUAAUGAGGCUGUUUAAUGCUUCGACAAAUUUACCAUUGCUAAUUUUACAAUGAAAACUAUGUUAAUUUAAAUCUAACUUUGGACGUGUGGUACCGGAUAAAAGUUAAUAGCCUUUUUUUGCACAGCAAAGGAAACAAUCAACAAAAUGAAAAGGAGGCCUACGCAUUAGGAGAAAAUAUCUGCAAACCAUGUAUCUGAUAAGGGGUUAAUAUCAAAAAUAUAUAACGAUGCAAUGCCAAAAAAUUGAAUAACCUAAUUAAAAAAUGGGCAAAGAACCUGAAUAAACAUUUCUCAAAAGACAUAAAAAUGGCCAACAGGUAUAUGAAAAGAUGCUCAACAUCACUAAUCAUCAGGAAAAUGAAAAUCAAAACCACAAUAAGAUAUCACCUCACCCCUUUUAGGAUGGCUAUUAUCAAAAAAACAAGAGAUAACAAGUGUUAGUAAGAGUGGGAGGAAAAGGGAACCCUUGUACACUGUUGGUGGAAAUGCAGAUUUGUGCAGCCCGUGUGGAAAACAGUAUGGAGGUUUCUUAAGGAAUUAAAAAUAGAACUAGUAAUAUGACCCUGCAAUCCCGCCUCUUCUGAGUAUCUACUCAAAGGAAAUGAAAUCACAAUCUUAUUAAAAAAAUCUGCAUUCCCAUAUUCAUUGCAACAUUAUUCACAAUACAAGUUAUGGAAGCAACUGAAGUGCCUGUUGACGAAUAAAGAAACUAUGAUGUGGGUGUGUGUGUAUGUAAUGAAAUAUUCAUCCUUGAAAAAGAGAGAGAUCCUGCCAUUUGCAAAACAUUAAUGAACUUAGAGGACAUUAUGCUAAGUGAAAUACGCCAGACACACAGAGAAAAACACUGCAUGAUCUCACUUAUAUGUGGAAUUAAAAAAAAAACAUAAUGAAAAACCAAAAAAUGCAACAACAAAUACACAGAUAGCAACAAAGAGCAGAAUACUGGUUACCUGGGGCAGAGAAAAUGGGAAGAAUUAGGUCAAAGGGUAUAAAGUUUGCAGCUAUGUAGGCUAAAUCUAGAGAUCUAGUGUACAACAUGAGGACUAUGGUUAAUAAUAUUUUAUACUGGAAAUUUCCAAGGGAGUAGAUUUUAGAUACUCUUACUAUGAAGGAAAAGAGAAGGGAAGAGAGGGAGGGAGGGAGGGAGAGAAGGAAGGAGGGAGGGAGAGAAGUAUAUGAGAUAACAGAUAUGUUAAUUUGCUGGACUGUAGUAAUCAUUUCACUAUGUAUAUCAAAACAUCAUGUUAUAGACCUUAAGUCAUACACAGUAAUCUCUCGGUAUCCAUGGGGGAUUGGUUCCAGGACCUCCUACAGACAUCAAAAUCCAUGGAUGCUUAAAUCCCUGAUAAAAGAGGGCACAGUAUUUGUAUAUAACCUAUGCAUAACCUUCCAUGUACUUUAAAUCAUCUCUAGAUUACUUGUAAUACCUAAUACAAUGUAAAUCCUAUGUAAAUAGUUAUUACACUAUAUUACUUAGGGCAGGGGUCCCCAACCCCCAGGCCACGGAGCAGUACUGGUUUAUGGCCUGGUAGGAAGUAGGCCGCACAGCAGGAGGUGAGUGGCAGAUGAACAAGCAUUACCGCCAGAGCGCCACCUCCUGUUAGAUCAGUGGUGGCAUCAGAUUCUCACAGAAGCACAUACCCUAUUGUAAACCGUACAUGCAAGGGAUCUAGGUUGCGUGUUCCUUAUGAGAAUCUAAUGCCUGAUGAUCUGUCACUGUCUCCCAUCACCCCCAGAUGAGACCAUCUAGUUGCAGGGAAACGAGCUCAGGCUCCCACUGAUUCUACAUUAUGCACUGGGUGAAGGCAGUCUACUUCAGGAGAAGCAAUGUGAUUUACCAAGCUAAGUAUUUCAUUUUUUCUAUCACAAAGGAUGGGAGGGUGGAUGUGUGAAUCUGUGCACUUUAAGAAGUGAUUUUUUCAAAAGCAGUCUAAAAUAAAACUAAGUUCAGAGAUUCUUAUUUUGAAUGUUUUAUUAUGUUGAAUUUAAAUAUAAACUCUUCAGAGUAUAAAAACCAGGUAAAUCUUACAGCUGACGCAGAGAUAGAAGCCUGUUAACACAUAUACAUUACUAUCUUAAACUACCUUCUUAAACCGAUCAGUUUAACUUACCAUAACGGAAAUAUCUAAAAUUUAGAAAAGGAACAAAGUUUUUAUUUCCCUAAAGCCCUUAAUUCAGGUCUUAGGCUAGAACUUCAUUUUUUAAAAGUUAUUUUUAAAAAAUAUUUAAUACUUUAUUCAUACAGAAAUGCCCUGUAUUGUAUGGACUCUGUAUUAUAUAGUCUGUAGCUGUGCUGAGGACAGUGUUGACUACUAAAGGCAAAGUCUUAAAAUGAAAAGUUCAUCUACUGUUAGGCAAGUCCCAUUAAGUUAGGAAGUUAUUAGACCCCUGGAAGCUGAUGCCUGAUUUCCUCCUCAAAAUUUUUUUAACUUAUUGACAGAUAAAAAUCUGCUCUGCUGUAAUCAAGAGAUUUCCUGUUGAGAUUAAAACUGAGAACUUCAUUUUUUAAAUAAAGAAUAAUCAAAACAAUUUUAUAAACUGAGUGGCUUUCCAAAGCUAAUUUUCUACUAGAUGCAAUGAAAUUAUAGAUAGUAUUACUGUUCUCAAUCAUCAUUUUAGUUUGUUUUAAAAUCAGUCAUAUUUCUAGGGUUUUUUUCUAUAUUCCCCCAAUAAAAAGGCAAGUCAACUAUGUAAUCUUCAUUAUUAAUAUGAUGACCUAACAUAUUAUGCAGGUGCUCAGUUGCUGAGGUUAGCAUGUCAGAAUUGAUCAAUGAAAAAAUUCAUAGUUUGAAUCACAGUGGACUCCACCUGCCACAUUAAAGCAGUAGAACAGAAGAGACAUGAAAAUGACACAGUAUUAAUCUAUCAUCUACCUUUUAACAGCUGAUGGAAACACAUACACUGUAUCUAUCAUCUAUCUACCCAUUUAUAUUUAUGUAUAUAUGUAUUAUAUAUCUUACACAUUAGAUAUGUAUUAUACACAUUAAAAUGAGGAGCACAUAGUCAUCUAGUAUAAAAAUAGCUAAAUCACUGUGAUAAGUUCCAAGAAAGACAAGAACAGGGUGCCAGGUUUGUGUACAAUAUGAGCACCAUGGUUUCAUAAGUUGGUAGCUAAGUAUUGAAACUGACUGAUGAUGUUAUUUAUGUUUGAAUUAUAAGGUCAUGAAAUCCCAGAACCGGAAGAGAUCUUUAAAAUCAUCUAGUCCAACCAGUCAUUCACUGCUUGAAUUUUUCUUAUUAUUCACUUGACCAUUGCUGAUAUUUGACUAUUUUUUGACUUACAAACACAGCAUUUUUAUACAGUUCAACCUAAUACAAACAUUUAUUAAGUUUGGUGCUGGGCCAGGACCACAUAAGAUGGAUUAGUCAAGACAACCCUACCCAACUCUUUAUACAGGGGAGAAAUGUGAAACCAAAUAAUUAUAACAUAGUGACUAUUUGUAGAAAUAAAAUGGCUAAAGUGGCCUCACCUAUCCAAAAUGAACAGGCUUGGUGCUGAGUUGAGUGGUCAAAUUGUGUGAUCUAAUGCAACAGUUCAAAACUCCAUCAAACUCUAUGAGGCUAUUCGUAACCAAUGAGGGAUUCACUACAGAGACAUGAAUUUCGGCCACUUUCUAGCUUGAGCUCAUGGCUAAAUAGUGAAGCAUUUACUCGUGCUUCUCCAGCUUCUUGGAGAACUCACUCAUGCUGCAGGAAAAGAUUACAAUUUUACCAGUCACUUCAGUCUCUAUCCCAAAAGCUGUGUUUCCCAUAGCACAUGGCUAUGGGUUCAUAGACAUUGAAGGUUAAGUAGAAAUUACUCUUAGAAGCAACUUCUAUUGACCACGAUCCCACCUGUUAGAAAUAGGUCCUAACUGUGUAAAUGAUGAAAGGACUAUCUUUCCUUGGUAUUUAAUUCUAUUGGCUUCAGUUAGUCACUUGAAACUGCACAAGAUGGAGAUGAAUUCCUUAAUGUUCUUAUUUCAGCACAUAACAUACACAGUGCUAGGCUGGCAUCAGAAAAUAGAUAUGCUAUGGCCCCUGUCCUCAAGUUAUGCUAAAGUCCUCUUAAGUCUAAAUACUUUAAAAAGGUUUGAUGAGUGUAAUAUAUUCAUCCAUCCAUCCAUCAUUUAUGAAGCACUGACUAACGUCAGGCAUUUUCCUGAACUCUGGGAUAAGUGGGAAAUAAGACAAAGUCCCUGCUGCCACCCCACCCUUACCAUGUAUAUAUUUAUUGGAACAAUAUACUGAAUUUUCAAAAGGACAUUCCACUUAUGUGCUUUUUUCAUUUGUUUCAGCAACCGGAGAAAACUGUAUCACUCAGAAUCUGAGUGGUGGCAGAGACUAUAACUGCCUUGUUCGCUGCUAUAUCUGCAACGCUAAAAGUAUACUGUCUGCCACAUACAACUGGAGAGCCUGUAUCACUCAGAAUCUGAGAGGCAGCUCCUGACUUGAAAAUGAUCAUUGUGUGUAAUGUGUGAGCAGUUUCCAAACAUCUGUGUCCGAGAAUACGGAGGGGCCAGGGAGAGGAAGAUCAGUGUGUGUGUCUGAGAGUGUGUGUGUGUUUUAAGGGAGAAGGGAAUAGAUUGAGUAAGGAAAGGAGAGGAACAUAUUCUCAGUAUCAGCAGUCUGGCCCCAAAUUUUGUGUUGUUUGGAAGAAAUCAAAUUCAAGAGAAAAUGAGGGGCCCCUUUCCUCAGUUCAGCGGCUACUUAUUUUCCUCCUCUAUUUUUAAACAUAUUUAAUAUUAAAUAGGCCAAUGAAUUUAAUCAGACCCUAUAUUUUAUAUAAAGGAAGAAAGAGAAGAAAAACCAGUAUUACAAAUAUAUAGUCUUUGGUUUGUAGAUAUGCUAUAUUUUUUUUCUGUAGAAUAUUAUCCUUUAUCCAAACCUUUGAAAAUUAUGGUCCUGAUUAUUUUUUAAAAGAAAAUAAAUUCCCCAAAGGAAAAUUUAAG